UGGAGAGGUGGCAGAGUGGUCGAAUGCGCUCGGCUUGAAACCGAGUGAACCGAAAGGUUCCGUGGGUUCAAAUCCCACCCUCUCCGU
This 87-nucleotide transfer RNA is filed under the name Kamptonema sp. PCC 6506. RNAcentral describes it as "tRNA-Ser". It matches the Rfam family "tRNA". From Rfam's summary of the family: Transfer RNA (tRNA) molecules are approximately 80 nucleotides in length. Their secondary structure includes four short double-helical elements and three loops (D, anti-codon, and T loops). Further hydrogen bonds mediate the characteristic L-shaped molecular structure. tRNAs have two regions of fundamental functional importance: the anti-codon, which is responsible for specific mRNA codon recognition, and the 3' end, to which the tRNAs corresponding amino acid is attached (by aminoacyl-tRNA synthetases). tRNAs cope with the degeneracy of the genetic code in two manners: having more than one tRNA (with a specific anti-codon) for a particular amino acid; and 'wobble' base-pairing, i.e. permitting non-standard base-pairing at the 3rd anti-codon position. Lineage: Bacteria; Bacillati; Cyanobacteriota; Cyanophyceae; Oscillatoriales; Microcoleaceae. The record is from RNAcentral.